RNAcentral lists this transfer RNA (65 nucleotides) under Dipodomys ordii (Ord's kangaroo rat). It matches the Rfam family "tRNA". Rfam says of the family: Transfer RNA (tRNA) molecules are approximately 80 nucleotides in length. Their secondary structure includes four short double-helical elements and three loops (D, anti-codon, and T loops). The record is from Rfam by way of RNAcentral. Lineage: Eukaryota; Metazoa; Chordata; Mammalia; Rodentia; Heteromyidae.
GGUGGCUCAAUGCUAGAGUGCUUGCCUGGCAUGUAUGAGGCCCUGAGUUCAAUUCCUCAGCACCA